Molecule: long non-coding RNA, 1914 nt
Organism: Oncorhynchus masou masou (cherry salmon)
Lineage: Eukaryota; Metazoa; Chordata; Actinopteri; Salmoniformes; Salmonidae
Exons: 3
Source: RefSeq, a predicted model, not a curated record
AUCAGCAUUGGAUGUACUGCAGAAACAUUAUCUUUAAAUUCAUAUUCAUUGGGACUGUAAAACCCUUCCCUUUUCAUGCUGAAGACAAGGGGAUACUCAACCUAAUCAAGAAAUGAUGGAAAUGAAAAAGGAGAUUCUGAGGACCACCCUUUGUGUUUUCUUUGUGGUGACAGUAUCUUAUUCAAAACCAGUCAGUCUGCAUGGAUUCCAGUUCAGAAACCUGAUGGCUGACAGCCUGGAAUCUUCAGAGUCUUCUGAGUCCAACGAGUCUUCUGAGAACAUUGGCGUAGCACCACAGACACCCAAUGGUCAGCCAAUGGUCACUGGCGCUGAGACUGCAAUACCAGACACAGAGGAGGAGACCGAUCCACAAGAAAGCGAUGCUAUACCCUCUGAAACAGCCUCAGAGGUUGAUGAUGCUUUGAUCGCUUCACAAACUGCACUUGGAACUGAAGCCUCAUUGGCAGACUCACUAAAUGGGACAGAAACUGAGACUACCUCACAACAUCCAGCCAUAAUCACAGUGACUGAUUCUCCCAGUCUGACUUCUGAUGUCAUAACCCAUAUAAGGUCUAUGCUCACGACGGCUCUUCCAUCAAUCAUUGACACAGCUACAAUCCAAGAAUUCCAUGUGGGCACAACUCUUCCCCCGAGCCCAUACCCCAUACCCAUUAUGGAGCAGCCAACAACUCCACCAGUCUCCUCAGUACCAGGCCUAACUCCCCAGCAGCCAGUUCAAUUGGGAAGCACUGAUGACAUAUCUGCUGUGCCAGGUUGUUUUACUGUAGUAUACAUAACUAGCCCUCAGCCAGUUCCUGCUAGAGGCGAUAACAUUUAAAGCUGAGAGGAAACUAGAAUAUCUUUGAUUAAAGCUGGAAUCCGAAGUAGAGGGAAACAGCGCCACUGGCCACGGUUGUUAUUGUUUUUGUUGUCGAGCUUAGGAGCGUUGUCGCGCAGGAUGGUAAAAAUGUUUGCAUGUAUUGCCGUGUAAUGAUGUCCAAGGCGAAAAAAAUUGUAUUUUCUGUUAGCAGUAACUUCUUUGUUGUUGUAAUGUUUCACCAUUAAGGAUUCUAGCUUUAAAGGUCAAAUGCAGCCAUUUUUAUCUCAAUAUCAAAUCAUUUCUGGGCAACAAUUAAGUACUUUCCUGUCAGUCACUUGCACAUCCUUGUUGCAGUUUAAUAAGAUGACAGCUCUGACGAAGGCCCUGAGGCCGAUACGUAAACCUUAAUAAAGAGCAGUGAUACUAGCAAGAGCAGUGUGUGGGUUUCUUAUUUUUUCUCCAAUUAAAAUGGUCAAAAAGAAACAAAAAUAUAUUCUUAGUAAAGAGCAAUUUCUCAAGCAAAAAUGUUGCUAGGACUGUCUGGUAGUGGUCUGAGUGGGGAGGUGAAAACGGAACAUUUGCUGUUAUGGGCAAGAGAGGUUUGGAACUUUCUUUCUUAUUGGUCUAUUAACUCAUUUACUAAAACCCCAUCCCAUUAAAACAGGCUAAGAUUUCAGGCAGUCUUUUCAAACAGCUCUUAAGCUAAAAGGGCAUUAUCAUAAUUUUCACAAUUUUACACAAUUUUAAUUUGUCUUAGUGAGCUGCACAUUGCUGACGCCUACAUUAGUGCUUUGUGAGCUGGAGGGCCUGCAACUGGCAAGAACACUCAUGAAAAUGAUUCACUAGUAUCUUCUGCACGAUAUCAGUGAUAAAGAUUCAGAUAUACCGUACCUCAUAUUGCUCAGUCUUUCAUAAAACAAUCUUCAAGAUAUUUGGUGGUAGGUAGUGGUUAGAGCGUAGGACUAGUAACAGGAAGGUUGCAAGAUCAAAUCCCUGAGCUGACAAGGUAAAAUCUGUUGUUCUGCUCCUGAACAAGGCAGUUAACCCACUGUUCCUAACUGACUUGCCUAGGUAAAUAAAGGUAAAAUACACUU